CUGAAACAGUCACUGAUCCCAACACUAAGCAGAAAAGCCUCUCUGGGGUGUUAGGGAUCAUAUGAUUAUAUGAGGUUGGGACAAAAUCCUGGAGAAACAAAAGCAGAAGCUCUCAGGGACAGAAAUAAUUAAAGCAAGAACUAGGAUUUUGAUGAAAAUGCCCUGGAGUUCUGAUGUGACUUUCUCUAUCCUGAUCCAAGGGGUAGUGAGGUGGCACAAGCUGCCCAUAGAAGCUGGGCAUGUCCCAUCCCUGAAGGCAUUCAAGGCCUAUGAUUCUGUGAUCAAAGGAAGGGUGAAAGGAAAAUUCUAAGCUCUACUGAAAUCUUGGCAUACACUUCCCAGGAUGGAAACCAGUCCUAGUGUGAAGUGUCACAGAAUGAACGGGGAAGAUGCAGGAGAAGGUACUUUUGUAAGAUUGGGCCCUCAAGUAACCCUGGUGAUUGCUUUCUCCCUUGGAAGAAAACUUUUGUGAAAAUAAAUUGCUCAAUCUACAAUUUGUCCCUAUAGUGUUCCACUGUUUACGGAUCAUUUACAACACUCUCGUGAUCACCUUGCUAAAAAUACUUUGAAAUAUCAAAAUUGACAUUAUUUGUGUAAUGAGGUUUGGGGUUUAAUGGCUCCAUUCACACUUGAGGAAUUGCAGGCUUUUCUGAUAGGCAUCUAUUAAGCAAAAUGAUUUGCAACCUCUGCUUGAGGGGAG
This is a long non-coding RNA of Gallus gallus (chicken), 700 nucleotides long. NCBI's taxonomy places the organism in Eukaryota, Metazoa, Chordata, Aves, Galliformes, Phasianidae. The record is from Ensembl.